RNAcentral lists this ribosomal RNA (464 nucleotides) under uncultured Klebsiella sp. RNAcentral's name for it is "bacterial SSU rRNA". It matches the Rfam family "Bacterial small subunit ribosomal RNA", at positions 338 to 795 of the family's 1533-position model. Lineage: Bacteria; Pseudomonadati; Pseudomonadota; Gammaproteobacteria; Enterobacterales; Enterobacteriaceae. The record is from RNAcentral.
CCUACGGGUGCUGCAGUGGGGAAUAUUGCACAAUGGGCGCAAGCCUGAUGCAGCCGUGCCGCGUGUGUGAAGAAGGCCUUCGGGUUGUAAAGCACUUUCAGCGGGGAGGAAGGCGGUGAGGUUAAUAACCUCAUCGAUUGACGUUACCCGCAGAAGAAGCACCGGCUAACUCCGUGCCAGCAGCCGCGGUAAUACGGAGGGUGCAAGCGUUAAUCGGAAUUACUGGGCGUAAAGCGCACGCAGGCGGUCUGUCAAGUCGGAUGUGAAAUCCCCGGGCUCAACCUGGGAACUGCAUUCGAAACUGGCAGGCUAGAGUCUUGUAGAGGGGGGUAGAAUUCCAGGUGUAGCGGUGAAAUGCGUAGAGAUCUGGAGGAAUACCGGUGGCGAAGGCGGCCCCCUGGACAAAGACUGACGCUCAGGUGCGAAAGCGUGGGGAGCAAACAGGAUUAGAUACCCGUGUAGUC